GAUGAACGCUGGCGGCGUGCCUAAUACAUGCAAGUCGAGCGAACAGACGAGGAGCUUGCUCCUCUGACGUUAGCGGCGGACGGGUGAGUAACACGUGGAUAACCUACCUAUAAGACUGGGAUAACUUCGGGAAACCGGAGCUAAUACCGGAUAACAUGUUGAACCGCAUGGUUCAACAGUGAAAGACGGUUUUGCUGUCACUUAUAGAUGGAUCCGCGUCGCAUUAGCUAGUUGGUAAGGUAACGGCUUACCAAGGCAACGAUGCGUAGCCGACCUGAGAGGGUGAUCGGCCACACUGGAACUGAGACACGGUCCAGACUCCUACGGGAGGCAGCAGUAGGGAAUCUUCCGCAAUGGGCGAAAGCCUGACGGAGCAACGCCGCGUGAGUGAAGAAGGUCUUCGGAUCGUAAAACUCUGUUAUUAGGGAAGAACAAAUGUGUAAGUAACUAUGCACGUCUGGACGGUACCUAAUCAGAAAGCCACGGCUAACUACGU
This 496-nucleotide ribosomal RNA is filed under the name uncultured bacterium. RNAcentral describes it as "partial 16S ribosomal RNA". It matches the Rfam family "Bacterial small subunit ribosomal RNA", at positions 28 to 506 of the family's 1533-position model. The record is from RNAcentral.